UUCCCUGCAUAUUUCUGAUCUCUCUCACCCUUUUUCAGGGCUCCACGCUGGCCGGGAGGAUGAAAGGCCCCAGCUGGGGGCUCCUUGCCACCAGCGCUGGGUCCUAAGAGCUGCCAUCCAGGCUGGGUGAGUGUCCCCUGCCUUUCUCUGUCCCAGCACUCUUUGGCUUCUCCCAUAUUUUUUCAGCCCUUAUCUCCUCCCAUCUUGUGCCUCUGCCAACAUCUUCACAUCUUGAUUCUGGGUAGGUUUAAGCCCCUUCCUGUAGCCAAAAAGGUGUAUACUAUGGUGGGGGUGGGAGGGAGCUGUUGAGAUGUUAUAGAGCUGGUGUUAUCUUAUGCAAAGAAUCUAUUCUAAAAAUAAAAUUUCCUUGUUUUACAUUUAAUUUGGCAUAUAACAAAUUCAGUGUCCAGCCCCUAAUGCCCUGGCCCUAUGACAUAAUUUAAAUCCCUUGUUUCUUGCUCUUUGGUGCCCAGGGGUCUCUGAUCAUACCUCCUCCCCCACCUCAUCUUACUGAGUUGGACAAACCAAAAACACCCCUUCUGGGCCUCUCUAUAUUUCAUGUAUUCAUGCCAGUCUUUCAUCCUUGCCCCUUACAGCCGCCCGGAUGGCGACCCCAGCCUCGGCCCCAGACACACGGGCUCUGGUGGCCGACUUUGUAGGCUAUAAGCUGAGGCAGAAGGGUUAUGUCUGUGGAGCUGGCCCUGGGGAGGGCCCAGCAGCUGAUCCACUGCACCAAGCCAUGCGGGCAGCUGGAGAUGAGUUCGAGACCCGCUUCCGGCGCACCUUCUCUGAUCUGGCAGCUCAGCUGCAUGUGACCCCGGGUUCAGCUCAGCAACGCUUCACCCAGGUCUCUGACGAACUUUUCCAAGGGGGUCCCAACUGGGGUCGUCUUGUGGCCUUCUUUGUCUUUGGGGCUGCCCUGUGUGCUGAGAGUGUCAACAAAGAGAUGGAGCCACUGGUGGGACAAGUGCAGGAGUGGAUGGUGGCCUACCUGGAGACGCGGCUGGCUGACUGGAUCCACAGCAGUGGGGGCUGGGUAAGAAGUUUCUCAAAUGCUGCUCUGCACAUCCCUCUGCAAAGCUGUUCUCCAGGGGGAAUAUGGGGGCUCUGAUUGGAGGCUGGGACAGCUGUGCUGGGAAGGAGGCAUGGGGCUGAAUUCUCCUAUUUAGGUGGAGUCAGACUGAGGUUCCCUCACCGAGCAUCACAUUGGACUCUGUACUCCAGGGCUGCCAUACAGUUAUCACUGCAUGGGCUUAUGGUCCCAAGCAAAGGACAGAAUACACAGUACCCAAGAAGUGCCUGCAGGGAAAGGUGUUACACCUGAGUAUAUGGCACGAGAGGUGGGGAGGAUCAGGGAUGGGUGGUGGUCAGGCAAGCCUUGGCAAAGGAUGCCAGUUCUAAGCAGAAUUUUUCAUCAAGGAAAGGAUGAGGCAGUGAGUGCAAGUGAGCCAGGCACUGGGGCAGAGGGGCUGCACAUGGGGGGAUCAGAGGGCUUGCAGUUGGUAGAGCUUUGGCUGGAGAGGAGCUGGGUAUGGGAUAGUGCUCGCAGUGGAUGGAACUGGAACUCUUCCUCUCCUCUUCUCUCCACUCUUUCCUCUCCUGAUAUCCCUUUCUCCUUCUUUCUCUCCUACUUCCCUUCUCUCCCACAGGCGGAGUUCACAGCUCUAUACGGGGACGGGGCCCUGGAGGAGGCACGGCGUCUGCGGGAGGGGAACUGGGCAUCAGUGAGGACAGUGCUGACGGGGGCCGUGGCACUGGGGGCCCUGGUAACUGUAGGGGCCUUUUUUGCUAGCAAGUGAGAAAGUUCAGGGCCAGGUGGGGCUAGGUGUGGCUGGGGGCCAGGAGAGCAGGAACAGAGAACAAGAAGUGAAGUGAAUGGUUGGGCAUGGAACAGGGAAGGGGAGAGGUAGCAUGUGAGGGAACCAAGUGUGCCAGGCAGGUGAUUGGAAGAGUGAGCUACAGUUAUUAAGGAGUUUUAAGAAAAUCAGAGGACCAGGAGAUGGAGUCAUUCCAGGGUUUGGGGGGAGGUGGGAGGGAUCAUGCCUAUAGGUAUGGGCACAUGAAACUACCCAGAGAUGAAUUUGCAGCGCUGAGGAAGGUGGACUUGCAUAAGGAGUUGUGUCUCCCCUGGAUAAGUGGGUUUUGGGGAACUAGAAGGCAUAUCCCUUUGGAAUGGAAGCUUAGGGUUCUCAGGUGAUUGGGAGAGGUGGCUGUGGCUGUGGGCUGCUUGGACACAAGUGUGCAUGUGCACGGGUACUCGUGUGCAUGCUGGGCUGUUUGUCUAAUCUGGAGGUGGUUCAGAUUCUUCAAGGAGAAAACAUUCCCUUUUGCAGUGGCAAGAACAAGGGACAGUUCUCUGCCCCUCCUCCCAAACCCUCUUUUCCCUUCCCCUUGUCCAGAUGCCUCAAGGCUGAAGGAGAAACACUGUAUCCAGACGGAGGGCUCUGGCACUUCUCAGCAGAAAGUUGUUGGUAGGGCUUUGGAGAGAAAGCAAUUCUGCAGCUGGCCUUGUUCCUUCAUUACCCAUUUUCCUGUGCAUCAUGAACUUCCUGCUGCCUCCUGGGCUCUGACAGAAGUGCAGGGCUCUGGAGCAUGGGCAGGUGAAGGCUUCUUCAGUAGCUGGAUAUGCCUGCCACCCUCCCCUCCCACUGGGGCACAAUGGUGCCUAAUAGCUCUGGGACCUCUGUACCCAAACUGAAACUCUAAAUUGGGGCUCAAUUUUCCUUUUGAGGAUGUAGACAUAAAUGCUGAUCUAGAAUAUAGUCUGGGUCCCACACUGUUUCUCAGUGAGACUGUUGAUUCCUUGAAAAGACCAUUCUAGCUUGAGCCCUGUGGGGUGAGGGUGACAGGUACUCUAUGACUGGGCCUAUUCUGUGUUGUGGGCUUUGGUGCUGCUUUAUUAGGGGCAGGUGUAUGGGUUUGAGAGUACCUACCACGAUCUGGAAGCAUUUAUAUUUCAUUGAAGCCACGCUGUUUGCAUGGGUGUUGUUUGUCUGUACCUCAGAGUCUGAGGAUGCUAACUUUAGAACUCACAGUCCUCUAGAACAGAUUCAGGCUAUAGCUUUUUCUUUUAAAGAAGAAAUGAUUCACUCCAGAUGCAUGUCCUGAGCCAGACCUCACUGCUGCACUUUCCAAGGUGCUAAAAUUUGCUGCUCUCCAAUGCUGACUUCAUUCACAGUGCUCUAGAACCCUGCCCAUAAUCCUGAGCACUGAUCAGUUUAGCUAGACAUGGUUGACUCUUCUUGGAGAUUUUUACUUGGUCCCAGAAUAUGGCAACAUGGAUGUGUUUGUUAGAAAGUGGGACCAAAUUGGCCUCAGGUGUUUAGUCCAGACUUUUGCUUUUGAGAGAGGGCUGCACUUUUUAAUGGUCUCUAUGGGGGAGGUGGUAGACUGCAUAUGCCACUUGGUCUGUUGUGAGUAUGCUGAUAUUAGAAACUCAGAGCUGGUCUAUGGCAGGCAGUUGGGGUGGGGGGUCUGACUUGCUCAGGACUAACUAGGCCAGUGGUUUUCAAACUGCUUGGCAGAGCCCCAAAGUAUCCUAGGGGUUGCCUCAGGAGUCCUUGGGGAGAUGAAGGGGAUGGGGGCUGAGCAGGCUGGGCAACUUGCCCUCAAACAGAACAGCUCCUCUUGUAGCUGUCUUACAUACCGGGGUUCAGGGUAAGAUUUUAUUUGCAUUAAGGGUUUUGCUGCUGAAAAAUAAAAGUUGGAAAACCACUGACUAGACCAUCAGCUCCAAAUUGGAGCCUGUGCUCCCCAAGGUUUGGGGCAGACUCUUCACUCUACCCACUACCACAAGAUACUUAUCUGUGUUAGCAUUCCUGGGGGGCUUUAGCAAACUGGGGCAGCAGGGACCAUGAUCAGGUUACCAAAGUGCCCCAUUCUGAGGCCUUCACACCUGGGUGGAAGGAGAGGCUUUUUUAUGAAAGGGUAAAGGGCUUGGUCUGGAUUCCCAAAAGCAGAGCUUGGAUGAGAUCACAGUGGGCAGUUUUGACCUGUUUUGCCCUUCUUAGUUUGAGGAGCAGUGGAAACCCCAGAGACUCUUCUGUCAGGGAAAACUAGGGACUCUCUUCUAGAGCCAUAUAGUUCCUUGGGAUUAGCUCUUGGCCAAGAAGGCUGAGUAUGGCUCCCAGUUUUUAAAUUCAUUUAUUUUUUUUUAAUGAGGAAAAUAAAUGUAAUGGCCAUUUUUCAAAGAUUAAAUAGGUGGAGAGGGUGUUUCUUGCUCUCCAGAGCCCAAAGGGACAAAUAGGGACUUUGCUUAGGCCAAGGAAGGACUGGAAGUAGGGCAACUGGGUCCUGCGAUUAUUAAUUGUACUCCCCACUUAUUGUAGGGCAUACAUACACUAUUUUACUUUUUUAAAAUCAUAAAACGGCAGGAGAACAGAUUUGGUUAGUUUAGAAGAAAAGAAAAAGCUCUAUAAAUAUAAAUAUAUAUUCCUGUAUUUUUAUUUAAUAAUUUAUAAAUAUCAAGUUCAUUUGACUUUUAUUUUUGUGUAAUAUGUAAUGGUCGUAUUAAAAAAAUAAAUAAAGCCCAGAAGUUUAAUGAGAAGGACUGAACAGGGUUUUGUGACUUUAUACUGUAUAACUGGGGUCAGAACAUUCCUCGAUCCAAUCAUCUGUUCGUGAUAUUGCUAAGGGCAAGAAUUAGAGUUAUAGGGUUUUGGGAAACUGUUGAGAUUAAAAAAAAAAAAAUCAGAGUUGUUCUACCAUCUUC
RNAcentral lists this long non-coding RNA (4711 nucleotides) under Marmota monax (woodchuck). The record is from RNAcentral. Lineage: Eukaryota; Metazoa; Chordata; Mammalia; Rodentia; Sciuridae.